GGCCUAUUGAUAAUAAUUUUAGGUCGGACCUGCCCAAUGAUGAAAAUUUAAUGGCUGCGGUAUAUUGACCGUGCAAAGGUAGCAUAAUCAUUAGUUUUUUAAUUGAAAGCUUGUAUGAAAGGUUUGAUGAGAAAAUAGCUGUCUCUGUUAAAAUUUAUUUGAAUUUUAUUUUUAAGUUAAAAAGCUUAAAUACUAAUAGAAGACGAGAAGACCCUAUAGAGUUUUAUAGUUAUUUUGAAAGAUAAGAUUUUAGUAUUUUUUAGUCUUAAGAAGUAAUUAUUUGAUUGGGGUGAUAGAAAAAUUUAAUAAACUUUUUUUUUAUAAUUACAUUAAUUUAUGAAUAUUUGAUCCUUAUUUAAAGAUUAAAAGAUAAAAUUACCUUAGGGAUAACAGCGUAAUUUUUUUUUAGAGUUCAAAUUAAAAAAAAAGAUUGCGACCUCGAUGUUGGAUUAAAAAAAAUUAUUGGUGUAGAAGCUAAUAAAUUAGGUCUGUUCGACCUUUAAAAUUUUACAUGAUCUGAGUUUAAACCGGCGUAAG
Molecule: ribosomal RNA, 537 nt
Filed under: Cryptorhynchinae gen. sp. ARC4853
Lineage: Eukaryota; Metazoa; Arthropoda; Insecta; Coleoptera; Curculionidae
Description: partial 16S large subunit ribosomal RNA
Rfam family: Bacterial large subunit ribosomal RNA
Source: RNAcentral